GACGAACGCUGGCGGCGUGCCUAAUACAUGCAAGUAGAACGCACAGUUUAUACCGUAGCUUGCUACACCAUAGACUGUGAGUUGCGAACGGGUGAGUAACGCGUAGGUAACCUGCCUGGUAGCGGGGGAUAACUAUUGGAAACGAUAGCUAAUACCGCAUAAUAUUGAUUAUUGCAUGAUAAUUGAUUGAAAGAUGCUAUUGCAUCACUACCAGAUGGACCUGCGUUGUAUUAGCUAGUAGGUGAGGUAACGGCUCACCUAGGCGACGAUACAUAGCCGACCUGAGAGGGUGAUCGGCCACACUGGGACUGAGACACGGCCCAGACUCCUACGGGAGGCAGCAGUAGGGAAUCUUAGGCAAUGGACGAAAGUCUGACCGAGCAACGCCGCGUGAGUGAAGAAGGUUUUCGGAUCGUAAAGCUCUGUUGUAAGAGAAGAACGGGUGUGAGAGUGGAAAGUUCACACUGUGACGGUAUCUUACCAGAAAGGGACGGCUAACUACGUG
Molecule: ribosomal RNA, 505 nt
Filed under: uncultured bacterium
Lineage: Bacteria
Description: partial 16S ribosomal RNA
Rfam family: Bacterial small subunit ribosomal RNA
Source: RNAcentral